RNAcentral lists this long non-coding RNA (993 nucleotides) under Marmota monax (woodchuck). The record is from RNAcentral. Lineage: Eukaryota; Metazoa; Chordata; Mammalia; Rodentia; Sciuridae.
GCUUGGGUUUAUGAAACAUCCAAAUUCUGAUGAUGCUCAUUCUUCCUUUUUGACCUUCAAACUCAAAAUCAACACGACUUGAGAGUAGCCAUGAAAAAAGCCAGGCUCCAGUUUGUGCUGAACAGUUGUUGAGCAGUUCUCAAAGAACUAAUUAGCCUUUUGUACUUGCCUCCAUGAGAUGGGGGAUCAGGACAGAGUCCAUCUCACGGGCACCAAGGGAGGGCUUCAUGAUUAGGCUCAGUCAAGUAUUAUAACUGAGUAUAAUGCGUGUACAGCUCUAAAUCCUAGAAUCCCUUUGCUGCCAAGCCCAUGAAGUUAAUCUCAAAGCACAGCAAUGACCAGCCACUGACCAAAAACUUCUGCCAAAUAAAAAAGGGACAGAGAUUAUCUCACCCAAAUAUCAUCAGUACCAAGGACUCAUGUUUGGACAACAGCACAUCUGUCAACUGCUGGCUCACAAAAUGUCCCCAGCAACUCUCCAAACCUGUUAUAUGGCUUCUUUCUUUGCAGAAGAUUUCAAACCUCAGGGAAGUGGGUUCCCUAUAAGGAAAUUCCCCUCAGGAGGAAUUCAUUACCUGAGACUGCAGAGUCAAGUUACAAGGACACAUGCAUAUUGUGAAUCAAUUACCUUUGAAUGUCCUCAGAGCUUCUUUACCCUUCUCUAAACCUAAUCCCACAGAGUGGCCCUUUGGGAAAUGGGCUAGCAACCACAGGAGUGUAGAGGUCAGAUGCAGGCCCCAUAAAUCCUUCAGAAAGAUUAGGCUUCAAAGCUUGAGGCCACACCAAGGAUCUGUGAGCUCACACUUGCUCAUAUGUGGCCUCAGCACUCCAAGCAGCAGAGGACAGUUUGCAACCUUCAACAUCACUCCUCCUGUUCUGAGCUUUAUCAAAUGUCCACUUGUUUUUAAGUGCACGUUAGCAAUUUCUUGUUGAUAUGAGUCUAUGAAAGAAACAGGCCAGGCUGAGGCUGCCUCUGUAUUUCAUCACUUCGGC